AACCUGCGGGUGCUUACACCAUGCAGUUGAACGAGUCCAUCCGAUCUUCGGAUUGGUGAAGACUAGUGGCGAACGGGUGCGUAACACGUGAGAAACCUGCCCCGGUCUCUGGGAUAACAGUUGGAAACGACUGCUAAUACCGGUUGCCGUCGGACCGUCGCAUGGCGGACCGACGAAAGGGUUACCGGAUCGGGAGGGUCUCGCGGCCUAUCAGCUUGUUGGUGAGGUAACGGCUCACCAAGGCAUCGACGGGUAGCUGGUCUGAGAGGAUGAUCAGCCACACUGGGACUGAGACACGGCCCAGACUCCUACGGGAGGCAGCAGUGGGGAAUAUUGCACAAUGGGCGAAAGCCUGAUGCAGCAACGCCGCGUGCGGGAUGAAGGCCCUAGGGUUGUAAACCGCUUUCAGCAGGGAAGAAAAUGACGGUACCUGUAGAAGAAGGUGCGGCCAACUACGUGCCAGCAGCCGCGGUGACACGUAGGCACCAAGCGUUGUCCGGAUUUAUUGGGCGUAAAGAGCUCGUAGGCGGUUCAGUAAGUCGGGUGUGAAAACUCUGGGCUCAACCCAGAGACGCCACCUGAUACUGCUGUGACUAGAGUGCGGUAGGGGAGCGGGGAAUUCCUAGUGUAGCGGUGAAAUGCGCAGAUAUUAGGAGGAACACCAGUGGCGAAGGCGCCGCUCUGGGCCGUAACUGACGCUGAGGAGCGAAAGCGUGGGUAGCAAA
This 725-nucleotide ribosomal RNA is filed under the name uncultured Actinomycetes bacterium. Its description in RNAcentral is "bacterial SSU rRNA". It matches the Rfam family "Bacterial small subunit ribosomal RNA", at positions 32 to 772 of the family's 1533-position model. The record is from RNAcentral. Lineage: Bacteria; Bacillati; Actinomycetota; Actinomycetes.